RNAcentral lists this ribosomal RNA (134 nucleotides) under Jaculus jaculus (lesser Egyptian jerboa). Lineage: Eukaryota; Metazoa; Chordata; Mammalia; Rodentia; Dipodidae. The record is from RNAcentral.
GUCUAUGGCCAUACCACCCUGAAUGUGCCUGAUCUCAUCUGAUCUUGGAAGUUAAACAGGAUCAGGCUUAGUUAGUACUUGGGUGAGAGAAAAAGCAUGCUCAAAUGAAUGGGAACUAUGUUUGACUGUAGCUU